RNAcentral lists this small RNA (32 nucleotides) under Bombyx mori (domestic silkworm). Its description in RNAcentral is "ovarian small RNA-24749". The record is from RNAcentral. Lineage: Eukaryota; Metazoa; Arthropoda; Insecta; Lepidoptera; Bombycidae.
UCAAGGUCCACGUACCUCGUUGAUUCGAGGUU